Molecule: ribosomal RNA, 279 nt
Filed under: uncultured bacterium
Lineage: Bacteria
Description: partial 16S ribosomal RNA
Rfam family: Bacterial small subunit ribosomal RNA
Source: RNAcentral
UGCCAGCAGCCGCGGUAAUACGGAGGGUGCAAGCGUUGUUCGGAUUUACUGGGCGUAAAGAGCGCGUAGGCGGCUUCAUAAGUUAAGGGUGAAAUCCCGGGGCUUAACUCCGGAACUGCUCUUAAAACUGUGGAGCUAGAGACAAUCAGAGGUGGGUGGAAUUCCAGGUGUAGAGGUGAAAUUCGUAGAUAUCGGAAGGAACACCGGUGGCGAAGGCGACUUCCUGGGCCAAUACUGACGCUGAGGCGCGAAAGCGUGGGUAGCAAACAGGAUUAGAUA